GGAAGUAAAAAUCGUAACAAGGUCUCCGUUGGUGAACCAGCGGAGGGAUCAUUACAGGAUCGAAAGACUCCUAUAACCCCUGUGAACUUACUACAAAUACGUUGCUUCGGCGGGUGCCCCGGGUCUCCCGGGGCGUUCAGUCCGCCGGCAGCCUUCAAAUUCUGUUUCUUUGCGUUGGCAUCUCGAGUAUACAAAAAUAAGUUAAAACUUUCAACAACGGAUCUCUUGGCUCUC
Molecule: unclassified non-coding RNA, 234 nt
Filed under: plant metagenome
Description: partial contains small subunit ribosomal RNA, internal transcribed spacer 1, and 5.8S ribosomal RNA
Rfam family: Eukaryotic small subunit ribosomal RNA (bases 1-54)
Source: RNAcentral